AACGAACGUUGGCGGCGCGCCUAACACAUGCAAGUCGCACGAGAAAGGGAGCAAUCCCCGGUACAGUGGCGCACGGGUGAGUAACGCGUGGAUAAUCUUCCCUUGGGCGGGGGAUAACCUUCCGAAAGGAGGGCUAAUACCGUAUAAGACCACAGCGAGUUCGCUCGCAGGGGUCAAAGCUGGCCUCUUCAUGAAAGCUAGCACCUAAGGAUGAGUCCGCGUCCCAUCAGCUAGUUGGUAGGGGAAAAGACUACCAAGGCGAAGACGGGUAGCUGGUCUGAGAGGAUGAUCAGCCAAACUGGAACUGAGACACGGUCCAGACUCCUACGGGAGGCAGCAGUGGGGAAUCUUGCGCAAUGGGCGAAAGCCUGACGCAGCGACGCCGCGUGGGUGAUGAAGGCCCUCGGGUUGUAAAGCCCUGUGGGGAGGGACGAAUAAGUCGUGGCUAAUAUCCACGAUGAUGACGGUACCUCCUUAGCAAGCACCGGCUAACUCUGUGCCAGCAGCCGCCGUAA
Molecule: ribosomal RNA, 515 nt
Filed under: uncultured bacterium
Lineage: Bacteria
Description: partial 16S ribosomal RNA
Rfam family: Bacterial small subunit ribosomal RNA
Source: RNAcentral